GUAGAAAAUCAUGUAGAUGUCUAUGUGGUUUGUGAUAUGAUUAACUAUGUACCUUUGACACUAUCAUUUUUAAAAUAAUUCUUACCUUGUUCAAGAUCCAACAAGCAAGCUUUCCAUUGACGUCACACUUAUUAUAAUGACUCUCCUGGAGUCCAUAUUGACGCGUACUUAGAUUUAGCAAAGACAACUUUAUGUUAUUUUCGGACAUACACUGUAAUUUGACAUGGCACAGAUGACGGCAAAUGAGAAGCUUGUAUACAUGUACUUCUGAGCAGAAGAUUGAAAUACAACUAUUUCUUUGUUCUCCUCGUUAGCGGUGACGUGUCCUAAUCUGAUAGCUCCGGCAAACGGCAGUCUGAGUCCUACCGGAGUGAACACAUACCUAGAUGUGGUAACGUUCAGAUGUGACCGGGGAUACGAGCUGUUUGGCAAUACUAGUGCUACUUGCCAGGCGGACGGAGCAUGGAAUGCUAAUGUUCCAGACUGCAAUGCGGUCAAGUGCCCUUCACUCACGCCACCAGUGAACGGAAGUCUGAGUCCCACCGGAGUGAACACCUACUUAGAUGUGGUGACGUUUAGAUGUGACCGGGGAUACGAGCUGUUGGGAAAGACUAGCGCUACAUGCCAGGCAGAUGGAGCCUGGAAUGCUAGUGUUCCAGACUGCAAUGCCGUCAAGUGCCCUUCACUCACGCCUCCAGUGAACGGUAGACUGAGUACCACCGGUGCAAACACCUACUUAGAUGUGGUAACGUUUAGAUGUG
Molecule: long non-coding RNA, 761 nt
Organism: Branchiostoma floridae (Florida lancelet)
Lineage: Eukaryota; Metazoa; Chordata; Leptocardii; Amphioxiformes; Branchiostomatidae
Exons: 3
Source: RefSeq, a predicted model, not a curated record